Molecule: ribosomal RNA, 995 nt
Filed under: Pedobacter agri
Lineage: Bacteria; Pseudomonadati; Bacteroidota; Sphingobacteriia; Sphingobacteriales; Sphingobacteriaceae
Description: bacterial SSU rRNA
Rfam family: Bacterial small subunit ribosomal RNA
Source: RNAcentral
ACAUGCAAGUCGAACGAGAUUGUCCAGCUUGCUGGACAUGAAAGUGGCGCACGGGUGCGUAACGCGUAUGCAACCUACCUUUAUCUGGGGGAUAGCCCGGAGAAAUCCGGAUUAAUACCGCAUAAAAUCACAGGAUGGCAUUAUCCAAUGAUCAAACAUUUAUGGGAUGAAGAUGGGCAUGCGUGUCAUUAGCUAGUUGGCGGGGUAACGGCCCACCAAGGCGACGAUGACUAGGGGAUCUGAGAGGAUGGCCCCCCACACUGGUACUGAGACACGGACCAGACUCCUACGGGAGGCAGCAGUAAGGAAUAUUGGUCAAUGGAGGCAACUCUGAACCAGCCAUGCCGCGUGCAGGAAGACUGCCCUAUGGGUUGUAAACUGCUUUUAUCCGGGAAUAAACCACAUUACGUGUAAUGUGCUGAAUGUACCGGAAGAAUAAGGAUCGGCUAACUCCGUGCCAGCAGCCGCGGUAAUACGGAGGAUCCAAGCGUUAUCCGGAUUUAUUGGGUUUAAAGGGUGCGUAGGCGGCCUGUUAAGUCAGGGGUGAAAGACGGUAGCUCAACUAUCGCAGUGCCCUUGAUACUGAUGGGCUUGAAUGGACUAGAGGUAGGCGGAAUGAGACAAGUAGCGGUGAAAUGCAUAGAUAUGUCUCAGAACACCGAUUGCGAAGGCAGCUUACUAUGGUCUUAUUGACGCUGAGGCACGAAAGCGUGGGGAUCAAACAGGAUUAGAUACCCUGGUAGUCCACGCCCUAAAACGAUGAACACUCGCUGUUGGCGAUACACAGUCAGCGGCUAAGCGAAAGCGUUAAGUGUUCCACCUGGGGAGUACGCUCGCAAGAGUGAAACUCAAAGGAAUUGACGGGGGCCCGCACAAGCGGAGGAGCAUGUGGUUAAUUCGAUGAUACGCGAGGAACCUUACCCGGGCUUGAAGUUAGUGAUUGAUCUAGAGAUAGAUCAGUGAGCAAUCACACGAAACUAGGUGCUGCAUGCUGU